UACGGAGGGUGCAAGCGUUAUUCGGAAUCAUUGGGCGUAAAGGGCGCGUAGGCGGUAUGUCAAGUCAGAUGUGAAAUCCCGGGGCUUAACUUCGGAGGGUCAUUUGAAACUGACAUACUUGAGUUCGGUAGAGGAAAGCGGAAUUCCUGGUGUAGCGGUGAAAUGCGUAGAUAUCAGGAGGAACAUCAGUGGCGAAGGCGGCUUUCUGGCCCGAUACUGACGCUGAUGCGCGAAGGCAUGGGUAGCAAACGGG
RNAcentral lists this ribosomal RNA (253 nucleotides) under uncultured bacterium. RNAcentral describes it as "partial 16S ribosomal RNA". It matches the Rfam family "Bacterial small subunit ribosomal RNA", at positions 524 to 776 of the family's 1533-position model. The record is from RNAcentral.